This 117-nucleotide ribosomal RNA is filed under the name Pteropus alecto (black flying fox). The record is from RNAcentral. Lineage: Eukaryota; Metazoa; Chordata; Mammalia; Chiroptera; Pteropodidae.
GUCUAUGGCCAUGCUACCCUGAACAAGCCUGAUCUCGUUUGAUCUCGGAAGCUAAGCAGUCGGGCUUGGUUAGUACUUGGAUGGGAGACCACCUAGGAAGACCAGGUGCUGUAGGCG